GUCCCUGACGACGACCACGAUGCGGUUCCUUGCUUUCGUCCUCCUCCUGGCUCUCGCCGUCGCCUUCGUCGGCGCUAAAUCCUUGGCCUGCUGCGGCGGCGGAGGUAACGGAGGUCAUCAUGGAGGUCAUGGUGGCGGAGGCAUCGGUGGAGGCUUCGGGGGCGGUGGAGGAUUGGGAGGUGGAGGAGGCUUUGGCGGUGGUUUCGGAGGAUAAAACUGAAGGACGUCAAGAAAGCCCGACCAUAGUGCAUCUUCGACCAACCGUAUUUUUCUCUUUAGGCCAAUCUCCUUUUGAGUGAGAGGUGUUAUUGGAAAUAAAAAUAUAGAUAAA
This is a long non-coding RNA of Penaeus chinensis, 331 nucleotides long. RefSeq lists it as uncharacterized. The transcript is spliced from 4 exons. Lineage: Eukaryota; Metazoa; Arthropoda; Malacostraca; Decapoda; Penaeidae. The record is from RefSeq and is a predicted model, not a curated record.